Molecule: small RNA, 159 nt
Filed under: Bacillus andreraoultii
Lineage: Bacteria; Bacillati; Bacillota; Bacilli; Caryophanales; Bacillaceae
Description: Ribosomal protein L10 leader
Rfam family: Ribosomal protein L10 leader
About the family: This family is a putative r-protein leader autoregulatory structure found in B. subtilis and other low-GC Gram-positive bacteria. It is located in the 5' untranslated regions of mRNAs encoding ribosomal proteins L10 and L12 (rplJ-rplL).
Source: RNAcentral
UAAAUAAACAUUUAUACCGUAGACAGUAGGUGCUAAUGUCUUUAGCUUAAUUUCCUGCCGAGGUAAAAACAUAGAAUGUAGUAAAUUACUAUUAAAUAGUGAUUUGUUUAAAAUGCUAUGUAAACCUCCUUGUCUACUAGAUAAGGAGGUUUUUUGGUA